This 497-nucleotide ribosomal RNA is filed under the name uncultured bacterium. RNAcentral describes it as "partial 16S ribosomal RNA". It matches the Rfam family "Bacterial small subunit ribosomal RNA", at positions 28 to 507 of the family's 1533-position model. The record is from RNAcentral.
GAUGAACGCUGGCGGCGUGCCUAAUACAUGCAAGUCGAGCGAACAGAUAAGGAGCUUGCUCCUUUGACGUUAGCGGCGGACGGGUGAGUAACACGUGGAUAACCUACCUAUAAGACUGGGAUAACUUCGGGAAACCGGAGCUAAUACCGGAUAACAUAUUGAACCGCAUGGUUCACUAGUGAAAGGCGGCUUUGCUGUCACUUAUAGAUGGAUCCGCGCCGUAUUAGCUAGUUGGUAAGGUAACGGCUUACCAAGGCAACGAUACGUACCCGACCUGAGCGGGUGAUCCGCCACACUGGAACUGAGACACGGUCCAGACUCCUACGGGAGGCAGCAGUAGGGAAUCUUCCGCGAUGGGCGAAAGCCUGACGGAGCAACGCCGCGUGAGUGAUGAAGGUCUUCGGAUCGUAAAACUCUGUUAUCAGGGAAGAACAAAUGUGUAAGUAACUGUGCACAUCUUGACGGUACCUGAUCAGAAAGCCACGGCUAACUACGUG